This 253-nucleotide ribosomal RNA is filed under the name uncultured bacterium. RNAcentral's name for it is "partial 16S ribosomal RNA". It matches the Rfam family "Bacterial small subunit ribosomal RNA", at positions 524 to 776 of the family's 1533-position model. The record is from RNAcentral.
UACGUAGGGUGCAAGCGUUAAUCGGAAUUACUGGGCGUAAAGCGUGCGCAGGCGGUUCCGCAAGUCAGAUGUGAAAUCCCCGGGCUCAACCUGGGAACUGCAUUUGAAACUACGGGGCUAGAGUGUGUCAGAGGGGGGUGGAAUUCCACGUGUAGCAGUGAAAUGCAUAGAGAUGUGGAGGAACACCAAUGGCGAAGGCAGCCCCCUGGGAUGACACUGACGCUCAUGCACGAAAGCGUGGGGAGCAAACAGG